GAUCAGCUGGUAUACGAUGAUGAUUUUGCCCACAGUGGCCGGUAUGAUAUAAUGGAAUGCCCUUAGAGGAUAAUGCUGUUAUGAAAUAUGUACCUAUGCACGACAUGACAUUCAUGCACAUAUGCAUGAUGCUAAAAGUAAUUUAUGAUCUACAAAGUUAUUCAUACUUACAGGUUGAGUCAUGUACUCUAUAUGUCUUCCAUGUCUCUUAUGUAUUUAUUUAUGUGCCUUACAUACUCGGUACAUUAUUCGUACUGAUGUCCCUUUUGCCUUGGGACGUUGUGUUUGAUGCCCGCAGGUCCCGAUAGACAGGUCGAGAGCCCUCCAAGUAGGCUAUCAGCUUAGAGGAAGAUGUUGGUGCGCUCCAUUUGCUUCGGAGUUGCUCGUUUGGUUAGUAUGAUUUAGAUGUGUAUUGUUUGGUAUGACGGGACUCUGUCCCAACCUUUUUGACAUUUAUGUAUUCUUAGAGGCUUGUAGAUAUAUGUCUUGUACGUGAAAGAUUGUACGGCCUUGUCGGCCUAUGUUUUGAGUUUAUAAAUGAUUAUGUUGGCCUAUUAGGCCCGUAUGUAACGUGUAUAUGAUGAUGUAAUAAGAAAGAUACAUUACAGUGGUACUCGGUUGAGUAAGGUAUCGGGUGCCCGUCGCGGCCCAUCGGUUUGGGUUGUGACAAAAGUGGUAUCAGAGCAGUUCUGUCCUAGGGAGUCUACAAGCCAUGUCUAGUAGAGUCUUGUUUAUGGGUGUGUCGUGUACCACACUUAUAAGCAGGAGGCUACAUGGCAUUUAAGAUUGUCACUCUUUCUUCUUACUCUAGAUCGUAUGGUAGAGCUCAGUCAUAGAAAUUCAAAUUCCUAAAUCCUAUUCAGACGAUACCUAUAUCUGGAAAGAAGGUUGGAAAGAGAGAUUGUUUUUGAAGAUUUGAGUCAGAGGAACUCCAUUUUUGCAUCAUGCUUAUGAUGAAUGAAUAUGAGGUAUUCGGCAAAUCAUAUGUAUACUAAGAUGUGUAAGUUUCUUGAUAAAGAUUUCAAAGGCAAGAAUGCCUAUCCACUCAUACGGUAAAAAUGAACAAGAGAAUCGGAAGGUAGAUACAAGUUUCAGCAAGUAAAAAAAAAAGCAAGGUGAAGAAGGGUAUGAGGCGCCCAGUUAAUGAAGGUUAAUAACGUUUAUAAUUUAGGCAGAAGAACAUAAGUUUUUUGAAUUAUAUUCAAUAGUAACAGAGGUAUAUACAAUUGGUCGCACCCACUCCAGAUAUGCCCUAUGGGGGUUAAUAGAAGUAGUAUAAGAAGAUAUGAUGGAUGAAUUAUUUGUUUCAGUUGACAUUUCCGAAGGAUAUUGCAAAUGUGCUAAUAGAUCUCCUUGUGAGACACCCAGAUGAUUCACUUUAAAAUAGUUUAGCCAGAUAUGAGUACUACAAAGACAUGCACUAUAAGACUUGAAGGGAUAAAUAUUACCUUAAUGUGGCUCGCGUCCCUAGUAAAGCAAGAACGUUAAGCAACUUGAAGAGCCACUGGAUGGAGCAAGGGAAUUAAAGCUAAAAGAGAAAGAAUGUCGUAUUGAAGUUUUCACAAGAAAAGGGAUAUGCAAAUAUUAGCAGAGUAAUGAGAAGAUAGAUAAGGAAGCAUUAUGAAUAAGGUGUGACACAUGAAUGAAAACGGUUGUGUGUUACAAAAUCUAUGGUCAAAUAAAGGAAGAGACGAAAGAUGAUAGGCCUUAAGACAACAAAAGAGUAUAGGCCAUAAGGUUAUAUCCUCAUUUUGAGAAAUAAGUUCGUGACUCCAACACGACUACCAGAGGGGAAAGUUAAUCCCCAGAGUAAUAAAAAUCAGUAUGGGCUGGUAAGCAAGAUAAAUUAAUAUGAAUUAGGGACUGAAUGAUUGGAGAGUACUCGGCAACAUGGUAANNNNNNNNNNNNNNNNNNNNNGCUUCCCUAAAGCAAGCAAUGUUAGCAAAGUUAAGCUUAAGGGACUAUAUGUACCAGUUACAUUAAGUGUCACCCUCGCGAGUAAGGGGAUUUGUCAUCCUUGGUACAGAAGGAAUGCCGCAAGGCGAGUAAGGGUCGUUGAUGACGUGAAAUGAUAUCAAAGAUGAAGAGGAUAAAAAAACAUCUAUAGGCAGGGCGUCAUAACUCCAAGUCUUAGUACUCCCCUAAGGGGGGAAAUAUGGAGUAAUAAAUGAAAAAUGCGGUAAAAACAAAAAAGGAAUGAGAUUACACUUAUUAUGCUCCUACGUAUAUUCUAUAAUUCUAGCACAUUAUGCAAACACGACGUCAAUGAGAGGAAAUAAGGGUCCCUGCCCGUGAUGUUAUUGAUAGAAAAGGAGUCAGUGCGAGACAUAAGUUAAGACAAAGGAAAUAACCCAAGAAAGAUUUCGUGGAAUAUUGACAUGAGAAUGGGCCAACGAGUAGUUAGUAGUUUAUUUAGGAAGAGCCUAGUCACGACUAGACAAGAAGUUACAGACAAAUCAGUAGAUCAUGCAAGAUAAAUGUAGUAAACCCCAACAUGGAGAAUUCAGCCCCGCAAUUAUGACAUUGUAAUACUUGAGAUAUAUUCAUAUAAGAGUUGGAGAAGUUAAAAAGGUACUAUAUGAGUGUUAUGGAAAUAAAAGAGAGUGUCACUAGGAAUACGGUCAAAAUAUCAGUCCCGAAGAAACCCCACAAGCACAAGGGCAUAUAGAUAAGUAACUAUGGAUAAGUAUAGGCAAGGAAGGACAAUAGAAGGUCCAUCAAGUAUACAAUAUAAUAAGCUCGCAUCUUUACAAGAGUCAGAGGAUCCUCCGUAAGUACUAUAGCGAAGGACUAGCUUAGGAAAUGAGGAAGAAGGCUUUAACCUAAGCACAUUAUCUUAAUGAAGAAAAGGUCAUGUAAAAGCAGUCUCACUACAAACAUUGUAUGCCCUCCAAAAGAAAGUGGCACCUACCAUGGUUAAUGAACGGGGAGAAAGAUCGAAGGUAAUAUUUGAGACUAUAUAAGUUGCAAAAAAUUUCUGGCAUGUGUGGGAACUAGGAUGAGUUAAGUAUGCACGCAACAAGGGUCAGAAAGACCAGAAAAAGUAAUUGCAUACUUUUUAAGAGAGCUGAGAUGGAACGAAAGGAAUUAUUCGAUCAAAUCCAGAGUUAGUACGUUAUGGACACACUCAAGAUUUUGGAGCAUUAUAUUUGUUGGCAAUCAUACAGCCAUAGAAGACUCCGGUAUAAGUUAAAAAAAGAAAGAAUUGAGCCCAGGGCAUAGACAAAUGAUUGAAUUGUUAAAAGAUUGUAUCAUGGAUAUUCCAUAAUGCCCAUGAAAGGCUAAGGUAAUAACUGAUACCAUGAGCCACAAAUUGAAAGGUAGCUUAAACCUACACAAAGGCUGAUCGAAAGGAAGAGGAAGCUAAAGAAUCACAUCACCCAAGUAAAUCAAGAGUCUGAUUAUUGGACCUAGAAAAAUUAUAGAAGUUGUGCUUAAGAAUAUGACAGAAUCACUCUUAAUAUGAGACGUUCAAGAGAAAUAACAUAACAACCAUAACCUAUAAUGACUCUAUAAGAAAGCCAAUUAGAAGAAGUACCAGCCUCAUAAGAAGUCAAUAUGAAGCUCCCAUCGGAUAGUGUAUGUAGCAGAGGUGCGAGUAUUAUAGUAAAGCUUUAAGUUAUGGAUAUGAAUUAUACCUAUAUGGAGGGAAGGUCCUGAAAGAGAUAGAAGAUACGAUGCGAAAUUUUAAGGUAAGUAAGGUAAAGGUGAACAACGUAUGAGAUACUCAAAGGCAGAAGAUCAUGAAUAAUCCAUACUUCGGAUAGAAGUCUAUAAGCGCGGGGAUUCCAUAUCCAGGAAUGAUAGCAGCGGUGUCAGUAGCAGAUCUUUCGGCCUACUGUCUAGGUAUCGAAAAGCCUGAUUAUGAGAGUAAAGGAUAGUUAGAGAUGAUGCUAUGUCUCGCUUGAUGUUCCAGAACAACAAAAGGAAAUCUAUGGUGCAAGCAAGUUGAAGGAAGGCCGCGAUAGAAUAAAUAUAUAUGUAUAGAUCCCAAGCUAAAGUAUAGUAUAGCGACAAAGUUUUAAUGAAACAUGAGUAAGGAUGAGGAAAGGCAAGUGAAAGGGUGACGAGAACGGAUAAGUCCUCGGGAUUGAAACCCAUGAAAACAAGAAAGCUAAGGGUUUCUCUAAAUUAUAGGAAGUUCAGUAUAGCCUGAAUGAACUCAAAGGAGUCUAAGACUAAUAACAUUCAGAAGAGAUGCAAUGCUGCCUUGUUAAUAGAAUGAGUGUGUAAUUAUUAUAGAAAAAAAUGAAUGACGUUUGGGCCUUCGAUUGAGUAAUGAUCUGACGAAUAAAAGAAAGGGAUCUUAUGAAUUGGACAGGAUCAAAAUACCUAUGCAGGUAAAUCACAUUGGGAUGCUGUGAGAUACGAUUAUGAAAGCAUGAUAUUGCCCCAGGUGGAUCAAUCUAAUUAUUUCAGAUGUUCCCCAUUAAAACAUGAAUCCUAGCAGUAAUAUUACACAGUUAUAAAGUUAUCAGAGGUGGAUUAUGGAUCAAAAUUGAGGUGAAUUCAACAAUGGAUGGAUAAAAGUUAUAAAGUAUAAGAUGAGAUUAGGCCGUCAUUCUUAAGAUGAACAGCAGUAUGGAAGCAUUAGAGGACAUAGAUUUAUACGUAUGGGAUAAGCAAUGAAAUUAACCUCGGAUUUUGUAGCAGACCUCAGUAACGAGAAGUCGAUGUAAGAGUUAUGGUAUAAUAUGACCUAUAUAGAUGCAGUAAAGUCAUACGAAUGGAUAACAACGUCUAUAAAAUAAGAUAUAGCAAUAUUCGUAAGUUCCACAAAAAGUGAAGAACUUCAGGAUUGGCUAAAAACUGGAGGAAAAAGGAGAGGAGAGUCACAUAAGCACCCUUACAAGGUCUGUAUCGUAGAAGCUCCAUGAUGGGAGGUAGCAACAGUUAUGAGAUUGGAAGGAAUUUGAUCACAAGUCAUGGCGUGGGAAAAAGGGCCUAAAGGGGGAUAACCUGGCCUAGAUGACAAGAGGACUACUAAAGUAUUCGCAAGAGCUAUGGGAUAUGAGAACGAUAAGCGCAUCAGUCAACAUUCGAGGACGAAUGUUCCAAAGGGGGGAAUGAUGUUACACCCCAUAUUUUGUACAUGAAAAUACGCCAUAAAUAAAUUAAUGAAAACCCGGAAGUGAGAUGUCACGUCCCGCAGAAUUUCAUUACGGUGAUGUCACGUUUCGCAGUAUUAAGUUACAACGAUGUUGCACCCUAAAGUAUUGUACGUUAAAAUUUCAUUUUCAGUUAACCGAUGUAAGAUCGGGAAUGAGAUCAUCUUGAUGUUAACGUACUUACACUAUUUAUAGCUGGCAAUAAAUAAGAGUUAUGAAGAAUAAGAGGGUACACAGAUUAGAGAAAACGAGUUUUGUUGAAAGUAGUCAAUUUGGAAUAAAAUACGGGUCGAGCGAUAAUACCCGAUAAUUAUAAACUAGUACCAUGAAAGGUGUCAUGUGACCACGGUAGUAUAAUAUAUAAAUUAUAUAUGAAGUAUUUUAAAAAUAAAUAGAAUUUUCAGUAAUUUAUGGUAAUUUUUUUAAAAUUAUACGGGUAAUUGAUUAAUUACCGAGUAACAGGACAUUACCCAGUUAACUAAUAAGUGGAUAAAAAAUUAAUAAUUAACCCUCCCCUCCCACGUUGCAAAGAGCCACAAACCAAGAAGUGACUAAAUAGUCACUUAUGCCUAGGUGGCAACCUAGGCUUGAAGGGAACAAAUGACUAUCCAAAGUCUUGUUACAAUUCCUUAUGGAAAUGACAACAGUAACGUUAUAAUUCAAACAAGCAAGAAAGCAAUUCUUUCUUGAUUUGGAAAUUUCAAAGAACAGAAUGAACGAAAUUUGCUCAGUAUCUCAACAAGCAUGAAGCCAUACAUUUGUUCAAGAAAUUUGAAGAAGCAGAAGUUUAAUCCCAUUUUUGCGGUUCAAACGAAGUACAGUGUAACCUUUUCCAAGGAUAUCAUACGGAUUUUUCCUACUCCGGGUAUGUUAAGGCUAUCCCUUCUUUCUUUUGGCAUGAUCUAUACGAUACGAACGGAACGUGCAAAUGCACAAAUUCCACGAAUGACUCUAUUCAUAGAAGUAUUAGAGAUAUCUCUGUUAUUGAAUUUUCAUGUGUUAUAAUGUCUUAUCAUCUGUUCAUGGGUCUCAGAAAAAUAAGAAAGUUGAAAAGAGUUUACUUUAUGAUAUUACUCAGAGGCAAAAUGGUCUUAUGACAUUUCGAAUAAUUUUGUUGACGUACUUUUUAUGCACUGCAUUCAUGUGCACUGACUCAUGACCAAAUGACGUUAUAUACACGUAUAUAUGUAAAUAUAUGUAUAUGGGAUAUGGGAAAGGUUAUGGCGUUAUAUACGCACCACCACCUGAUCAGCUGGUAUACGAUGAUGAUUUUGCCCACAGUGACCGGUAUGAUAUAAUGGAAUGCCCUCAGAGGCUGAUGAUGUUAUGAAACAUGUACCUAUGCAGCACGACAUAACAUUCAUGUACACAUGCAUGAAGCUAAAAGUAAUUUAUGAUCUACAAAGUUAUUCAUACUUACAGGUUGAGUCAUGUACUCUAUAUGUCUUCCAUGUCUC
RNAcentral lists this long non-coding RNA (6566 nucleotides) under Nicotiana tabacum (common tobacco). RNAcentral's name for it is "long non-coding RNA (NTAB_LNC017383)". Lineage: Eukaryota; Viridiplantae; Streptophyta; Magnoliopsida; Solanales; Solanaceae. The record is from RNAcentral.